This 406-nucleotide ribosomal RNA is filed under the name uncultured bacterium. RNAcentral describes it as "partial 16S ribosomal RNA". It matches the Rfam family "Bacterial small subunit ribosomal RNA", at positions 29 to 526 of the family's 1533-position model. The record is from RNAcentral.
AUUGAACGCUGGCGGCAGGCUUAACACAUGCAAGUCGAGCGAUCGGCGGACGGGUGAGGAUUACCUGGGAAACAGCUUGAUGGCGGGGGAUAACAACCGGAAACGGUAGCUACUACUGCCUACCAUCAGCCGUGCCCCGAUGGGAUUAGCUGGUAGGUGGGGUAAUGUCGCACAUAGGGGACGAUCCCUAGCUGGUCUGCGAGGAUGACCAGCAACACGGGAACUGAGACACGGUCCAGACUCCUACGGGAGGAGGCGGUGGGGAAUAUUGGACAAGGGGGGCAAGCCGGAGGCAGCCAUGCCGCGUGUGUGAAGAAGGCCUUCGGGUUGUAAAGCACUUUCAGCGGGGAGGCGGUACCCGCAGAAGAAGCACCGGCUAACUCCGUGCCAGCAGCCGCGGUAAUUC